Molecule: ribosomal RNA, 482 nt
Filed under: uncultured bacterium
Lineage: Bacteria
Description: partial 16S ribosomal RNA
Rfam family: Bacterial small subunit ribosomal RNA
Source: RNAcentral
AUUGAACGCUGGCGGCAUGCUUUACACAUGCAAGUCGAACGGUAACAGCCUGCAAGUUCUUGCUGAUUGCGGACGGGUGGGGUAUUGAUCCGAACCGUGCCCGGCGGUGGGGGUUACUUCUCCAAAAGGUAGCUAAUAACGCAUACCGAUCUAGGGUUAAAAGCGGGGGCCGGAAAGGCUUCGGCGGAUUGAACGGGCGGGUGUCAGAUUAGGUAGUUGGUGGGGUAAAGGCUCACCAAGCCAACGAUCUGUAGCUGGUCUGAGAGGACGACCAGCCACACUGGGACUGAGACACGGCCCAGACUCCUACGGGAGGCAGCAGUGGGGAAUUUUGGACAAUGGGCGCAAGCCUGAUCCAGCAAUGCCGCGUGCAGGAAGAAGGCCUUCGGGUUGUAAACUGCUUUUGUACGGAACGAAACGGCUCUGGUUAAUACCCGGGGCUAAUGACGGUACCGUAAGAAUAAGCACCGGCUAACUACGUG